This 366-nucleotide unclassified non-coding RNA is filed under the name soil metagenome. RNAcentral describes it as "partial contains 5.8S ribosomal RNA, internal transcribed spacer 2, and large subunit ribosomal RNA". The stretch from base 1 to 120 matches the Rfam family "5.8S ribosomal RNA", at positions 35 to 154 of the family's 154-position model. The record is from RNAcentral.
GAUGAAGAACGUAGCGAAAUGCGAUAAGUAGUGUGAAUUGCAGAAUUACCUGAAUCAUCGAAUCUUUGAACGCACAUUGCGCCCCCUGGUAUUCCUGGGGGCAUGCCUGUUCGAGCGUCAUUAACAACCAAUCGGGCGGGGCUUUUGCAUGCUCCCGCUCGGCCAUGGGGGAUGGACGUCGUCGGACGCCCACCCCCGAAAUGCAACGGCGGACGGCCACCCGUGGCACUGCGGCGUAGUAAGUUAACCCUUCGCGCGCGCCCACGGAGUGGACUGCCCGGCCGCUUGAACCCCCACACAUCCUACGGUUGACCUCGGAUCAGGUAGGGAUACCCGCUGAACUUAAGCAUAUCAAUAAGCGGAGGA